CCACACCUCACAUCCUGUGUUUCAACUACCGAAUCCAUGUGGAGUCCCCCCAAAUACCACGCAGGAGGCACAGAACUUGAACAGACGAACCCGCCCCCUG
RNAcentral lists this small RNA (100 nucleotides) under Pan troglodytes (chimpanzee). RNAcentral's name for it is "processed transcript". Lineage: Eukaryota; Metazoa; Chordata; Mammalia; Primates; Hominidae. The record is from RNAcentral.